GAGAGAGAGAGAGAGAGAGAGAGAGAGAGAGAGAGAAACAGGUGAGGUUUCUCCUUGGAUUCACUGCUAAACAUCAGGGCUUGAAACAGAGACAAAGACAAUAAACCAAAAUGGCAAAAUGGGAAGUGGAAACAAAGAAAGGAUCCAAACUACAAGAAACAGAUGGAUGCAGCCGACAAGGCUCUGGAAAAUGUCAUCCACCCACCUGUAGGUGACACUACAAAGCAGUCCCCCUUCCAUGUCUUCUGAUGACAUGUUCUUCUCUUUUGUAUCAGUUGUUAUGGUCUAAUUUCUUAGCUACAGCAAGGUGUAUUUUAUUCUGUAUGAUAUCUCCUGCACUGCGGUACCCUCCCUCCAUGUUUUCUGAAGGCAUAUCCAUCUUUGUAUUGUCUGUCAGUUGUUAUGGUCCAAUCCCUCAGUUACAACAAUGUGCAGAUUAUUCUGUGCUCGUUCCUAUGGGAUUUAAUAGUUAGAUCUUCUAAAUAGUUGGGACUUAUGGCUUUGUUGUUGAUGUUGUACUAUCUUCAAAAGAUUUGUCUACAUGACCUUGUGCUACAUUAACUUGAUGCCAUCUGAGGACCAUGACUUCUCUGUUCAUGGAUGGCAACCAACCAACCGACCAUUCGUUCUGAGGGCAAACACUUGCCUCUUAACAUGUUGGAUUUCAGUAGGUUACCUGACAUACUGAUUGCAUGUAUUCUUCACUAGGUUGUUGUUUUGUUUCUCUAUUCAACUUGGUUAAACAUUGGUUUGAUCAUAGAAGGCAAUCCCUGUUAUUCUAGUCGCAUCAAGUUGGUAGAUGUUUGAAUUGGUAAUUAGCUGCAUUUCCAAGAAAUAAUUUGCUACAGGAAGUCUAAUUUUCAACUUGAACAAUAGCUCUCUGACUUGUCCAUUUGAAAUCUUCAUAAAGAGUUCAUGGAUAACUUGAACAUCAUCGGCUUUGAUAGGACCAAACUUUGAAUACUUCCUACUCUUUACUGUUAACUUUUUCAGCUGCUCAUGAUGUGACCCAGCCACCAUUCAUGGCCAUGUUCUGCAGACAAGCUUCUAGCAAGUAAAUUUUGUUUCUUGCAUGACUAGGUUCAGGAUCUCCAUCUGCUACUGGAAUCAUGGAAGCCUGUCAUUAGAUAGAACAAC
This 1137-nucleotide long non-coding RNA is filed under the name Musa acuminata (dwarf banana). RNAcentral describes it as "long non-coding RNA (MACU_LNC002167)". The record is from RNAcentral. Lineage: Eukaryota; Viridiplantae; Streptophyta; Magnoliopsida; Zingiberales; Musaceae.